GAUGAACGCUGGCUACAGGCUUAACACAUGCAAGUCGAGGGGAAACGACGGGGAAGCUUGCUUCCCCGGGCGUCGACCGGCGCACGGGUGAGUAACGCGUAUCCAACCUGCCUCUGACUGAGGGAUAACCCGUCGAAAGUCGGCCUAAUACCUCAUGGCAUCGUCUGCGGGCAUCCAACGACGAUUAAAGAUUUCAUCGGUCAGGGAUGGGGAUGCGUCUGAUUAGCUUGUUGGCGGGGUAACGGCCCACCAAGGCUACGAUCAGUAGGGGUUCUGAGAGGAAGGGCCCCCACAUUGGAACUGAGACACGGUCCAAACUCCUACGGGAGGGAGCAGUGAGGAAUAUUGGGCAAUGGGCGGGAGCCUGAACCAGCCAAGUAGCGUGCAGGAGGACGGCCAUAUGGGUUGUAAACUGCUUUUAGGCGGGGAUAAAGUGAGGGACGUGUCCUUCAUUGCAGGUACCGCAUGAAUAAGGACCGGCUAAUUCCGUG
This 491-nucleotide ribosomal RNA is filed under the name uncultured bacterium. RNAcentral describes it as "partial 16S ribosomal RNA". It matches the Rfam family "Bacterial small subunit ribosomal RNA", at positions 28 to 507 of the family's 1533-position model. The record is from RNAcentral.